This 253-nucleotide ribosomal RNA is filed under the name uncultured bacterium. RNAcentral describes it as "partial 16S ribosomal RNA". It matches the Rfam family "Bacterial small subunit ribosomal RNA", at positions 524 to 776 of the family's 1533-position model. The record is from RNAcentral.
UACAGAGGGUGCUAGCGUUAAUCGGAUUUACUGGGCGUAAAGGGCGCGUAGGUGGUAAAGCAAGUAAGAUGUGAAAGCCCUGGGCUUAACCUAGGAAGUGCAUCUUAAACUGCUUAACUCGAGUAUGGUAGAGGGUAGUGGAAUUUCCGGUGUAGCGGUGAAAUGCGUAGAGAUCGGAAGGAACGCCAGUGGUGAAGACGACUACCUGGACCAAUACUGACACUGAGGUGCGAAAGCGUGGGGAUCAAACAGG